GCCUGACUAGCUCAGUCAGUAGAAUAUGUGACUCUUGAUCUCGGGAUUGUGAGUUCAAGCCCCAUGUUAGGUG
This 73-nucleotide transfer RNA is filed under the name Ailuropoda melanoleuca (giant panda). It matches the Rfam family "tRNA". From Rfam's summary of the family: Transfer RNA (tRNA) molecules are approximately 80 nucleotides in length. Their secondary structure includes four short double-helical elements and three loops (D, anti-codon, and T loops). Further hydrogen bonds mediate the characteristic L-shaped molecular structure. tRNAs have two regions of fundamental functional importance: the anti-codon, which is responsible for specific mRNA codon recognition, and the 3' end, to which the tRNAs corresponding amino acid is attached (by aminoacyl-tRNA synthetases). tRNAs cope with the degeneracy of the genetic code in two manners: having more than one tRNA (with a specific anti-codon) for a particular amino acid; and 'wobble' base-pairing, i.e. permitting non-standard base-pairing at the 3rd anti-codon position. The record is from Rfam by way of RNAcentral. Lineage: Eukaryota; Metazoa; Chordata; Mammalia; Carnivora; Ursidae.